This 415-nucleotide ribosomal RNA is filed under the name uncultured bacterium. RNAcentral describes it as "bacterial SSU rRNA". It matches the Rfam family "Bacterial small subunit ribosomal RNA", at positions 352 to 782 of the family's 1533-position model. The record is from RNAcentral.
CAGUUGGGAAUUUUGCACAAUGGACGAAAGUCUGAUGCAGCGACGCCGCGUGGGGGAUGAAGGUUUUCGGAUUGUAAACCCCUUUUGCGAGGGAAUAAUUUGUGAAGGUACCUCGCGAAUAAGCACCGGCUAACUCCGUGCCAGCAGCCGCGGUAAUACGGAGGGUGCAAACGUUGUCCGGAAUCACUGGGCGUAAAGCGCAUGUAGGUGGUUUAGUAAGUGAGCGAUUAAAGACCGACGCCUAACGUCGGGAAGGUUGCUCAUACUGCUAAACUGGAGUAUGGCAGGGGUAAGCGGAACUUUAGGUGUAGGAGUGAAAUCCGUAGAUAUCUAAAGGAACACCAAUGGCGAAGGCAGCUUACUGGGCCAUUACUGACACUGAGAUGCGAAAGUGUGGGGAGCAAACGGGAUUAGA